GAUGAACGCUAGGGGCAGGCCUAAUACAUGCAAGUCGAACGAUAGUGAGAAGCUUGCUUCUCACGAAAGCGGCGCACGGGUGCGUAACGCGUAUGCAACCUACCUUAAUCAGGGGGAUAGCCCGAGGAAAUUCGGAUUAACACCGCAUAAAAUCACAGUAUAGCAUUAUACAAUGAUCAAAUAUUUAUAGGAUCAAGAUGGGCAUGCGUGACAUUAGUUAGUUGGCGGGGUAACGGCCCACCAAGACCACGAUGUCUAGGGGAUCUGAGAGGAUGACCCCCCACACUGGUACUGAGACACGGACCAGACUCCUACGGGAGGCAGCAGUAAGGAAUAUUGGUCAAUGGAGGCAACUCUGAACCAGCCAUGCCGCGUGCAGGAAGACUGCCCUCUGGGUCGUAAACUGCUUUUAUUCGGGAAUAAACCUAUCUACGUGUAGAUAGCUGAAUGUACCGAAGGAAUAAGGAUCGGCUAACUCCGUGCCAGCCGCCGCCGUAA
Molecule: ribosomal RNA, 498 nt
Filed under: uncultured bacterium
Lineage: Bacteria
Description: partial 16S ribosomal RNA
Rfam family: Bacterial small subunit ribosomal RNA
Source: RNAcentral